ACUGUGUGUUGUUGGGUAGGGGAGCGUUCUGUAAGCCUGCGAAGGUGGCCUGUGAGGGUUGCUGGAGGUAUCAGAAGUGCGAAUGCUGACAUAAGUAACGAUAAAGCGGGUGAAAAGCCCGCUCGCCGGAAGACCAAGGGUUCCUGUCCAACGUUAAUCGGGGCAGGGUGAGUCGACCCCUAAGGCGAGGCCGAAAGGCGUAGUCGAUGGGAAACGGGUUAAUAUUCCCGUACUUGGUGUUACUGCGAAGGGGGGACGGAGAAGGCUAUGUUGGCCGGGCGACGGUUGUCCCGGUUUAAGCGUGUAGGUGUGUGUUCCAGGUAAAUCCGGUUCACUUUAACACUGAGGCGUGACGACGAGGCACUACGGUGCUGAAGCAACAAAUGCCCUGCUUCCAGGAAAAGCCUCUAAGCAUCAGGUAACAUCAAAUCGUACCCCAAACCGACACAGGUGGUCAGGUAGAGAAUACCAAGGCGCUUGAGAGAACUCGGGUGAAGGAACUAGGCAAAAUGGUGCCGUAACUUCGGGAGAAGGCACGCUGACAUGUAGGUGAAGUGAUUUACUCAUGGAGCUGAAGUCAGUCGAAGAUACCAGCUGGCUGCAACUGUUUAUUAAAAACACAGCACUGUGCAAACACGAAAGUGGACGUAUACGGUGUGACGCCUGCCCGGUGCCGGAAGGUUAAUUGAUGGGGUCAGCGCAAGCGAAGCUCCUGAUCGAAGCCCCGGUAAACGGCGGCCGUAACUAUAACGGUCCUAAGGUAGCGAAAUUCCUUGUCGGGUAAGUUCCGACCUGCACGAAUGGCGUAAUGAUGGCCAGGCUGUCUCCACCCGAGACUCAGUGAAAUUGAACUCGCUGUGAAGAUGCAGUGUACCCGCGGCAAGACGGAAAGACCCCGUGAACCUUUACUAUAGCUUGACACUGAACAUUGAGCCUUGAUGUGUAG
Molecule: ribosomal RNA, 946 nt
Filed under: Salmonella enterica subsp. enterica serovar Indiana
Lineage: Bacteria; Pseudomonadati; Pseudomonadota; Gammaproteobacteria; Enterobacterales; Enterobacteriaceae
Description: partial 23S ribosomal RNA
Rfam family: Bacterial large subunit ribosomal RNA
Source: RNAcentral